RNAcentral lists this ribosomal RNA (345 nucleotides) under Triticum aestivum (bread wheat). Its description in RNAcentral is "partial small subunit ribosomal RNA". Lineage: Eukaryota; Viridiplantae; Streptophyta; Magnoliopsida; Poales; Poaceae. The record is from RNAcentral.
AAUGAUGAGAAAAAGGUUCACCGGAUCGCGUGGAAGAAAAUGUGUGAGAGUAAUCAGGAGGGAGGGAUGGGGUUUCGAGAUAUGGAAGCUUUCAACCAGGCUUUACUAGCAAAGCAAGCAUGGAGACUGUUGCAAGUCCCUUCUUCUCUGUGUGGGCGCGUCCGUAAGGCACGUUACUAUGAUCAUGGGACAAUCCUCAAUGCGACAUGUCUGAGUGGUGCAUCAUAUACUUUCAGAAGCAUUCUGCAUAGCAGGGACUGCUACCUCUUGAGCACUGCGUUGGAUUUCCCCAAAGAGGAGAGGAUGAUGCAGCAAAGUAGCAUAAGUAUUUCCCUCAGUUUUUGA